This 300-nucleotide ribosomal RNA is filed under the name uncultured bacterium. RNAcentral's name for it is "bacterial SSU rRNA". It matches the Rfam family "Bacterial small subunit ribosomal RNA", at positions 399 to 691 of the family's 1533-position model. The record is from RNAcentral.
GCGUGCAGGAUGAAGGCCUUCGGGUUGUAAACUGCUUUUGUACGGAGCGAAACGGCCUUUUCUAAUACAAAAGGCUAAUGACGGUACCGUAAGAAUAAGCACCGGCUAACUACGUGCCAGCAGCCGCGGUAAUACGUAGGGUGCGAGCGUUAAUCGGAAUUACUGGGCGUAAAGCGUGCGCAGGCGGUUUUGUAAGACAGAUGUGAAAUCCCCGGGCUCAACCUGGGACCUGCAUUUGUGACUGCAAGGCUAGAGUACGGUAGAGGGGGAUGGAAUUCCGCGUGUAGCAGUGAAAUGCGU